GAUGAACGCUAGCUACAGGCUUAACACAUGCAAGUCGAGGGGAAACGACAUCGAAAGCUUGCUUUUGAUGGGCGUCGACCGGCGCACGGGUGAGUAACGCGUAUCCAACCUGCCCACCACUUGGGGAUAACCUUGCGAAAGUAAGACUAAUACCCAAUGAUAUCUCUAGAAGACAUCUGAAAGAGAUUAAAGAUUUAUCGGUGAUGGAUGGGGAUGCGUCUGAUUAGCUUGUUGGCGGGGUAACGGCCCACCAAGGCUACGAUCAGUAGGGGUUCUGGAGGGAAGGUCCCCCAAAUUGGAACUGAGACACGGUCCAAACUCCUACGGGAGGCAGCAGGGAGGAAUAUUGGUCAAUGGACGGGAGUCUGAACCAGCCAAGUAGCGUGCAGGAUGACGGCCCUAUGGGUUGUAAACUGCUUUUAUAAGGGAAUAAAGUGAGUCUCGUGAGACUUUUUGCAUGUACCUUAUGAAUAAGGACCGGCUAAUUCCGUGCCAGCCGCCGCCGUAA
This 508-nucleotide ribosomal RNA is filed under the name uncultured bacterium. RNAcentral describes it as "partial 16S ribosomal RNA". It matches the Rfam family "Bacterial small subunit ribosomal RNA", at positions 28 to 523 of the family's 1533-position model. The record is from RNAcentral.